AGUUAACGUAGCAAAUUAUGGCAUUGCAAAAGACCUAAGCCCUUUCAACAGAGGUUCAAAUCCUCUCGUUAACU
RNAcentral lists this transfer RNA (74 nucleotides) under Scinax humilis (Rio Babi snouted treefrog). Its description in RNAcentral is "tRNA-Leu". It matches the Rfam family "tRNA". From Rfam's summary of the family: Transfer RNA (tRNA) molecules are approximately 80 nucleotides in length. Their secondary structure includes four short double-helical elements and three loops (D, anti-codon, and T loops). Lineage: Eukaryota; Metazoa; Chordata; Amphibia; Anura; Hylidae. The record is from RNAcentral.